GCCAACAUGGCUUCGAAAAAAGCGAAAAGGUGCGUUCCGCACUCACGAGGGACUGCCACUGAUAUAGUGGACGAAGGUGGGGAAGCCGUCAAGUCCGCCUGGGCUAUAUGGGGUGGGCGGCACACGUGGUUCAACCGCAAUUACAAUGGGAAGCAAGGGAGUAAGCCGGAGAGAAUCCGGAAAGAUUUCUUCAGUUAGGAUUGUUAUGUGGAAAUUGAGAACAUGAAGUUGGAAUCGCUAGUAAUAGCGGAUCAGCAUGCCGCGGUGAAUAUGUACCCGGGCCCUGUACACACUGCCCGUCACACCGAGGGAUUUGGUUUCUCCCGAAGCAUCAGGCACAAUGAUCCCCCAUGAGUUGUGGGUACCACUAGUCUCACAAAGGCUUUUGGUUAUGUAAGGGGCGCAUACCACGGUGGGGUCUGUGACCCCUUAAAAGGGCGUAACAAGGUAAUCAAGCGG
RNAcentral lists this ribosomal RNA (459 nucleotides) under uncultured bacterium. RNAcentral describes it as "bacterial SSU rRNA". It matches the Rfam family "Bacterial small subunit ribosomal RNA", at positions 1117 to 1507 of the family's 1533-position model. The record is from RNAcentral.